AGAAACUUAGGUUAAUUUAAACCAAGAGCCUUCAAAGCUCUAAAUGAAGGUUAAAGUCCUCCAGUCUCUG
RNAcentral lists this transfer RNA (70 nucleotides) under Hemigrammus armstrongi. Its description in RNAcentral is "tRNA-Trp". It matches the Rfam family "tRNA". Rfam says of the family: Transfer RNA (tRNA) molecules are approximately 80 nucleotides in length. Their secondary structure includes four short double-helical elements and three loops (D, anti-codon, and T loops). Further hydrogen bonds mediate the characteristic L-shaped molecular structure. tRNAs have two regions of fundamental functional importance: the anti-codon, which is responsible for specific mRNA codon recognition, and the 3' end, to which the tRNAs corresponding amino acid is attached (by aminoacyl-tRNA synthetases). tRNAs cope with the degeneracy of the genetic code in two manners: having more than one tRNA (with a specific anti-codon) for a particular amino acid; and 'wobble' base-pairing, i.e. permitting non-standard base-pairing at the 3rd anti-codon position. The record is from RNAcentral. Lineage: Eukaryota; Metazoa; Chordata; Actinopteri; Characiformes; Acestrorhamphidae.